Molecule: ribosomal RNA, 1686 nt
Filed under: metagenome
Description: bacterial LSU rRNA
Rfam family: Bacterial large subunit ribosomal RNA
Source: RNAcentral
CUCCGCAAGGUUGGUAGAGGAGCAUUGAAUGCGGGAAGAGGCUGUACCGUAAGGAGCAGUGGACUGCAUUGAAGAGAGAAUGCCGGAAUGAGUAGCGAGAAAUAGGUGAGAAUCCUAUUGGCCGAAUAUCCAAGGAUUCCAGGGUAAAGCUGAUCUGCCCUGGGUAAGUCGGGGCCUAAGGCGAGGUCGGAAGACGUAGCCGAUGGACAACAGGUGGAGAUUCCUGUACUGCAUAUGGUCAGAACUGUGGGGACACGGGGUGUUAACGGAAGCCGGGAAAGGAAAGACCGGCCCAAGCACAGGAGGCGUUGCGCAGGCAAAUCCGCGCAAUAAGCCAGAGGUGUGACGGGGAGCGAAAUAAAAGUAGCGAAGUCCGGAUACAUGCUGUCAAGAAAAGCCGCUAUUGCGCCAUAUGUACCCGUACCGUAAACCGACACAGGUGGAUGAGGAGAGAAUCCUAAGGCCGGCGGGAGAAGUGUUGUUAAGGAACUCGGCAAAAUGGCCCCGUAACUUCGGGAGAAGGGGCGCCCAGAAAUGGGCCGCAGAGAAAAGGCUCAAGCAACUGUUUAGCAAAAACACAGGUCUAUGCGAAACCGAAAGGUGAGGUAUAUGGGCUGACGCCUGCCCGGUGCUGGAAGGUUAAGGGGAGAGGUUAGCCGCAAGGCGAAGCUUUGAACUUAAGCCCCAGUAAACGGCGGCCGUAACUAUAACGGUCCUAAGGUAGCGAAAUUCCUUGUCGGGUAAGUUCCGACCCGCACGAAAGGCGUAAUGAUUUGAGCACUGUCUCGACAACACACCCGGUGAAAUUGAAAUACCAGUGAAGAUGCUGGUUACCUGCGCCAGGACGGAAAGACCCCAUGGAGCUUUACUCUAGUUUGAUACUGGGACCCGGUAUGACAUGUACAGGAUAGGUGGGAGGCAGAGAAUUAAUGACGCCAGUCAUUAAGGAGCCGGUGUUGGGAUACCACCCUUGUGAUGCCAGGUUUCUAACGAGCUGCCGUGAACCGGCAGGCGGACAAUGUCAGGCGGGGAGUUUGACUGGGGCGGUCGCCUCCGAAAGGGUAUCGGAGGCGCUCAAAGGUUCCCUCAGAAUGGUUGGAAACCAUUCGGAGAGUGCAAAGGCAGAAGGGAGCCUGACUGCGACACCGACGGGUGGAGCAGGUACGAAAGUAGGACUUAGUGAUCCGGUGGUAUAAAGUGGGAUUGCCAUCGCUCAACGGAUAAAAGCUACCCUGGGAUAACAGGCUUAUCACUCCCAAGAGUUCACAUCGACGGAGUGGUUUGGCACCUCGUUGUCGGCUCAUCGCAUCCUGGGGCUGGAGUAGGUCCCAAGGGUUGGGCUGUUCGCCCAUUAAAGCGGUACGCGAGCUGGGUUCAGAACGUCGUGAGACAGUUCGGUCCCUAUCCGGCGCGGGCGUAAGAGAUUUGAGAGGAGCUGUCCUUAGUACGAGAGGACCGGGAUGGACGGACCACUGGUGUAUCUGUUGCACCACCAGGUGCACGGCAGAGUAGCCAAGUCUGGAAGGGAUAAACGCUGAAGGCAUCUAAGCGUGAAGCCCCCCUCAAGAUAAGAUCUCUCAUUCGAAAGAAGUAAGACCCCUUGAAGACGACGAGGUAGAUAGGGCAGGGGUGGAAGGGCAGUAAUGUCCGGAGCUGACUGUUACUAAUCGGUCGAGGGCUUGAUCA